Molecule: ribosomal RNA, 254 nt
Filed under: uncultured bacterium
Lineage: Bacteria
Description: partial 16S ribosomal RNA
Rfam family: Bacterial small subunit ribosomal RNA
Source: RNAcentral
CGGAGGGUGCGAGCGUUGUCCGGAUUUAUUGGGUUUAAAGGGUGCGUAGGUGGCUUAAUAAGUCAGUGGUGAAAUACAGCCGCUCAACGGUUGAGGUGCCAUUGAUACUGUUAAGCUUGAAACAAGUGGAGGUUGCCGGAAUGGAUGGUGUAGCGGUGAAAUGCAUAGAUAUCAUCCAGAACACCGAUUGCGAAGGCAGGUGACUACGUUUGAUUUGACACUGAGGCACGAAAGCAUGGGGAGCAAACAGGAUU